Molecule: ribosomal RNA, 468 nt
Filed under: uncultured bacterium
Lineage: Bacteria
Description: partial 16S ribosomal RNA
Rfam family: Bacterial small subunit ribosomal RNA
Source: RNAcentral
GACGAACGCUGGCGGCGUGCUUAACACAUGCAAGUCGAACGGAAAGGCCCUGCUUUUGUGGGGUGCUCGAGUGGCGAACGGGUGAGUAACACGUGAGUAACCUGCCCUUGACUUUGGGAUAACUUCAGGAAACUGGGGCUAAUACCGGAUAGGAGCUCCUGCUGCAUGGUGGGGGUUGGAAAGUUUCGGCGGUUGGGGAUGGACUCGCGGCUUAUCAGCUUGUUGGUGGGGUAGUGGCUUACCAAGGCUUUGACGGGUAGCCGGCUUGAGAGGGUGACCGGCCACAAUGGGCCAGAGAUGCCGCCCAGACGCCUACGGGAGGCAGCGGUGGAGAAUAUUGCAAAAUAGGCGGAAGCCGUGUGCAGCAACGCCGCGUGCGGAAUGACGGCCUUCGGGGUAUAAACCGCGUUCGCCUGUGACGAAGCGUGAGUGACGGUAAUGAGUAAAGAAGCACCGGCUAACUACGUG